AGAGUUUGAUCCUGGCUCAGAUUGAACGCUGGCGGCAUGCCUUACACAUGCAAGUCGAACGGUAGCGGGCCUUCGGGUGCCGACGAGUGGCGAACGGGUGAGUAAUGCAUCGGAACGUGCCAUUGAGUGGGGGAUAACGUAGCGAAAGUUACGCUAAUACCGCAUAUUCUGUGAGCAGGAAAGCAGGGGACCGCAAGGCCUUGCGCUCUUUGAGCGGCCGAUGUCGGAUUAGCUAGUUGGCGUGGUAAAGGCCCACCCAGGCGACGAUCCGUAGCGGGUCUGAGAGGAUGAUCCGCCACACUGGGACUGAGACACGGCCCAGACUCCUACGGGAGGCAGCAGUGGGGAAUUUUGGACAAUGGGGGCAACCCUGAUCCAGCCAUGCCGCGUGAGUGAAGAAGGCCUUCGGGUUGUAAAGCUCUUUCGGCCGGGAAAAAAUCGCCUCUCUGAAUACGGGGGGUGGAUGAUG
Molecule: ribosomal RNA, 469 nt
Filed under: uncultured Rhodocyclaceae bacterium
Lineage: Bacteria; Pseudomonadati; Pseudomonadota; Betaproteobacteria; Rhodocyclales; Rhodocyclaceae
Description: bacterial SSU rRNA
Rfam family: Bacterial small subunit ribosomal RNA
Source: RNAcentral